RNAcentral lists this ribosomal RNA (714 nucleotides) under uncultured bacterium. Its description in RNAcentral is "bacterial SSU rRNA". It matches the Rfam family "Bacterial small subunit ribosomal RNA", at positions 82 to 791 of the family's 1533-position model. The record is from RNAcentral.
CUGUGGGUGGCGAGCGGCGGACGGGUGAGGAAUACAUCGGAAUCUACCUUCUUGUGGGGGAUAACGUAGGGAAACUUACGCUAAUACCGCAUAAGACCUGAGGGUGAAAGCGGGGGACCGUAAGGCCUCGCGCGAGAAGAUGAGCCGAUGUCCGAUUAGCUAGUUGGUGAGGUAAAGGCUCACCAAGGCGACGAUCGGUAGCUGGUCUGAGAGGAUGAUCAGCCACACUGGAACUGAGACACGGUCCAGACUCCUACGGGAGGCAGCAGUGGGGAAUAUUGGACAAUGGGCGCAAGCCUGAUCCAGCCAUGCCGCGUGUGUGAAGAAGGCCUUCGGGUUGUAAAGCACUUUUGUUGGGGAAGAAAAGAUUCGGGUUAAUAACCUGGGUUCAUGACGGUACCCAAAGAAUAAGCACCGGCUAACUUCGUGCCAGCAGCCGCGGUAAUACGAAGGGUGCAAGCGUUACUCGGAAUUACUGGGCGUAAAGCGUGCGUAGGCGGUUUGUUAAGUCUGUCGUGAAAGCCCCGGGCUCAACCUGGGAAUGGCGGUGGAUACUGGCAAGCUAGAGUACGGUAGAGGAUGGUGGAAUUCCCGGUGUAGCAGUGAAAUGCGUAGAGAUCGGGAGGAACAUCUAUGGCGAAGGCAGCCAUCUGGACCAGUACUGACGCUGAGGCACGAAAGCGUGGGGAGCAAACAGGAUUAGAUACCCCUGGU